UCAAACAUUUGGUGAUAAAAUAUAGUGCACAUAUACAGUUAGCCACUUAGCUUUGACUCUCAUAAACAAAUUUAGGUUUAUGCAAGUGUCCGAGCAUUCAACCUCACAGAAAUGACAAUUUGAGGGCCAUCCUCUCAGAAACACAACCAACCGGUCUAUUGUACAAUUAAUCCAUGUAUUUCCUGCUGUCGUUUAUCCUCUUCCACAAAUGCAAAACGUUCCUAUCAGUUGACGUCAUCCGAAACCAAUACAGUGUGUACACCUGGAUCCGCCUGCAGUUUCCUACUUGGGUCAGUUUUCAACUAGUUCAGGUCAGCAUCGAGCAUAGUAUAUGCGUGUCAUCAUCUAGCUAAACUGCGGGGAGCAAAAGCAGAAUUAAAGCUACCAACCUUGUACCCCUACCUCCUCCCUACGCCUCCACAGCCAAAAGAGCUCCCUGAGGAGGAGAAGAAUGGCUGCGCUGCUCUAUCUUG
RNAcentral lists this long non-coding RNA (473 nucleotides) under Panicum hallii. Its description in RNAcentral is "long non-coding RNA (PHAL_LNC000508)". Lineage: Eukaryota; Viridiplantae; Streptophyta; Magnoliopsida; Poales; Poaceae. The record is from RNAcentral.